This is a long non-coding RNA of Felis catus (domestic cat), 357 nucleotides long. RefSeq lists it as uncharacterized. The record is from RefSeq and is a predicted model, not a curated record. The transcript is spliced from 3 exons. Lineage: Eukaryota; Metazoa; Chordata; Mammalia; Carnivora; Felidae.
UCCUGUUUCUCCACAUCCUUGCCAGCAUUUGGCGAUGUCAGUGCUUUGGAUUUUGGCCAUUCUACCAGAUCAAGGUGCCAGCAGAUUCAGCGUCUGUUGAAGACGGUCUUUUUGAUUUGCACAUGGCCUCCUUCUGUAUCCUCACGUGGCGGAGAGAGAUCGUCGUCUUCUGAUCAGAUCUUCUGAUCACACAUUGGAGAUUAGAGCUUCAACAUGUAACUCUGGUGGGCGGGAGGGAUCAACAUUAAUAGCAACAGGCUCCUCCAUACCUCUCCAACUGAAUUGUCCAUCUCUUCCUGAAGAAGACCUACUUCAUAGGCCAGGAAUUUCAAACACGAAUUACCAUGCUCAUUUCUA